AAAUAGAUUAAGAGAAAUCCGGAUUACAAAAACGUCUAGAACACAAUGUUUGCGGAAUAAAAC
This 63-nucleotide small RNA is filed under the name Arabidopsis thaliana (thale cress). Its description in RNAcentral is "ATSL033850". Lineage: Eukaryota; Viridiplantae; Streptophyta; Magnoliopsida; Brassicales; Brassicaceae. The record is from RNAcentral.